GACGAACGCUGGCGGCGUGCCUAACACAUGCAAGUCGGGCGAGUGAAUUUCCUUCGGGAUUGAAGCUAGCGGCGGACGGGUGAGUAACACGUGGGCAACCUGCCUCAUAGAGGGGAAUAGCCUUUCGAAAGGAAGAUUAAUACCGCAUAAGAUUGUAGCUUCGCGUGAAGUAGCAAUUAAAGGAGUAAUCCGCUAUGAGAGGGGCCCGCGGCGCAUUAGCUAGUUGGGGAGGUAACGGCUCACCAAGGCGACGAUGCGUAGCCGACCUGAGAGGGUGAUCGGCCACAUUGGGACUGAGACACGGCCCAGACUCCUACGGGAGGCAGCAGUGGGGAAUAUUGCACAAUGGGGGAAACCCUGAUGCAGCAACGCCGCGUGAGUGAUGACGGCCUUCGGGUUGUAAAGCUCUGUCUUCAGGGACGAUAAUGACGGUACCUGAGGAGGAAGCCACGGCUAACUACGUGCCAGCCGCCGCCGUAA
Molecule: ribosomal RNA, 480 nt
Filed under: uncultured bacterium
Lineage: Bacteria
Description: partial 16S ribosomal RNA
Rfam family: Bacterial small subunit ribosomal RNA
Source: RNAcentral